RNAcentral lists this unclassified non-coding RNA (2936 nucleotides) under Melitaea cinxia (Glanville fritillary). Its description in RNAcentral is "misc RNA ENSMCXG00005016701.1". The record is from RNAcentral. Lineage: Eukaryota; Metazoa; Arthropoda; Insecta; Lepidoptera; Nymphalidae.
CUGUACAACACGUACAAAAACAUUACACCACUACUACGGGAUUUACAAUAUAAAUACGCCGUUUCAAGGUGAUGACCAUUUAUUUGAAUAUAAAGGCGAUACAAUUUUGUAUGGAAACCAUAUAUGCAUACCGUUGAACAAAACGUUAGCGCGAUUUAAUUGCGUACAGCGACAUCUAUCGUCGAGUUGCGAAAUUACAUACUUAGUAAAGUAAAGUAUAUGACAAUUUAUUAUAGAAUUAAACAUUCCGCCCGCCAUGGACGAAAGUUCAUAACACUAUUUCUAACAAAAAGAAAACGUUAUACACUUUUGUAAAUUAUUAAUUACUAACAAACAAUAUACUUAACUAACAACUUCGAACAUACAAUGUGAAAGAACAAAAACAUUACAUUAAUACAAAUCUUUAGAUUGACAAUUUUUUAAGUAGCAAUUGGUAAUAUAAUAAUUUUAGAAACAGGUCUCUUUAUAAUUUUAUCUUUACAUCGUAGACUUACUACACGAGUGAAAUUGUCCAGACCAGGGUGCUUCUCCAGUAUUAGACCGUACAGCCAACGAGAAGGAGGAAGAUCGUCUUCCUUUACAAGGACUACGUCUCCGACCUUUGGUUCAUUUAUUGCGAAUUUCCAUUUGUAGCGAUUUUGAAGUUGGGUUAAAUAUUCGUGGGACCAUCUACGCCAGAAGUUUUGCACCAUACGCUGAGUCAAAUGCCAACGAGUAAGGCUGCUCAUAGAAGCCUCCUCGAAAUUUUGCUUCCGGAACAAGCACAAGUGGUUCGCCAACUAAGAAAUGCCCUGGUGUUAGUGGCUUUGGAUCCCCUGGACUACUGCUUAUUUGGGAAAUAGACCUUGAAUUAAGACAAGCUUCAAUCUGCGAUAGUACAGUACUCAUUUCUUCGAAGGUUAAAGUACUAUUUCUAACAACUCGUUUUAAGUGGUACUUUGUAGAUUUGAUUCCGGCUUCCCACAAUCCUCCAAAAUUAGGAGAAUGCGGAGGAAUAAAGUGCCACUUAGUACUAUUAUUUUCCAACCAAUCGACUAUUUCCGGUAUUAUACUUGAUUUUUCCUUUUUAUGAAGGAUUUUAAGUUCCUUUGCACUUCCAACAAAUGUAGUACCAUUAUCACUCCAUAAUUCAGAUACAUGGCCUCUUCUUGCAACAAACCGCUUAAAGGCUGCCAAGAAUGCUUGAGAUGUCAUAUCACUUACCAUUUCCAAAUGGAUGGCCUUUGUCGCCAUACAAAUAAAAAGACAUAUGUAUCCUUUGGUAGCGUGAUAACCUCGUCCUUUAGUUGUUCUUAUACUGAUUGGACCUGCAUAAUCGACACCGCUACGUAGAAAUGGUCUAGAUGGUUUUACUCGAGCAAUUGGUAGUUGACCCAUUAAUGGAUUAGUUGGUUGUGCAGAAUAACGAACACAUGCUACACAUUUCCGAAUGUACAUUCUAACAGCACUUCUUGCGUUAACAAUCCAAUAUUUAGUUCUUAAAUAAUUUAGUGUUAUUUGAGGUCCUCCGUGAAACGUUAAAACAUGAGCUUCCCCUAUGACAAGAUUUGUAAAAUGUGAUUUAUUAGGUAUAAGAAUCGGGUGCAUCAUAUCAUGGUCGAUAUCAGCGCUUUGCAAUCGUCCGCCAACUCUCAAUAUGCCAUCGCCAUCAAGAACAGGAUUUAAUGAGAUCUCAUCUCGACCUUCACUAAGGCAGUGGCCAGUAACACUUGGCUUUGAAUACUUGAGAAGCAGGUAACAACAUUAGACUCACCUUGUGAUGACGUCGCAGACACGACAUCUUUAGCGCCCGAGUUAUUUUCCUCGGACUGUUGAGGUGCAGUUUUAGGAUGUAAGAGAGAAUGAUGGCGCUUUUUACACACUCGGCAACGAGUAGACUGAUGACAUGAUAUAACCGAAUGAUUCGGACCCAAGCAGUUGAAGCAUAAACCCCUGGACUGAACAAACCCACGUCGUGAGUCUAUAUUUUCUUUACAAAACUUUUUACAAAAACAUAACUUAUGACUUUCUUUACAAUAAGGACAAGCAGUAGCAGUUACAUGAAAUGAUUUAGCAGUGACAUUCUUAUUACAGUGCUUUGAAUUUUUAUUAUCACUAAAUUCUAAAGAUCUAAAUCUUUGUUCUAAAAACAAUUUAAAUUGAUCUAUAGUAGGCAAUUCUUGUGUUAAAUUACAAACUUUAGCUUCCCAUUGCCUCCUAGAUUCAGUAUCUAAUUUAAGACAUAAAAUGUAAAUUAUUAAAACAUCCCAAUUGUCUAUAUUUAAAUUUAAAUUUUUCAAAGCAUUCAUACACUCAUUGGUAUUAUCUAAUAAUUCUCUUAACGACUGAGACGAUUCUGAAACAAUAUUUCUUUGACUCAUAAACUUCUUUAGAAUACAAUUAAUAAUAUACCUUCUAUUAUUGUAGCGAUUUUCCAAUUGAUCCCAACAUAAAUUGUAAUUUGAACUAGUAAUAGGUAUGUGACGUAGUAGUUGUUCUGCUUCACCAGAGAGAUGUGAUUUUAAAUAGUGCAACUUUUGAACAUUAUCUAAUGAAGCGUUGUUAUGAAUCAAAGAAACGAAUAAAUCGCGGAAGGAAGUCCAUUCUAUAUAAUUUCCAGAAAAAGUAGGAAUUGUAAUUUUAGGUAAUCGUACAUUUAUUAAAUUAUUUUGACCUACUGAUUCGUUAAUUUGUAAACCAACAUUAUUUUUAUCAUUUAAUUGCAAACCCCUCAACGUUUCCUUUAAUAUCGACUUGUAUUCUAAAUAGGCUUCCUCCGUCAAAUCAUAUGUAUCAUCUUCAAAAUAAUCUGAACUAUCUAAAUUUUCUGUAUCAAAUUGACUUACAAGUUUUCUAUGAGUGUCUUUAAAUGAAAGCCAUUGCGUUUCUAAAUUUUCAAGGCGAGCUUCUACAUAUGUAAAUGUUAGACGCUCCUUUGGAGACUUUUUAAAAUUAAC